RNAcentral lists this long non-coding RNA (623 nucleotides) under Mytilus galloprovincialis (Mediterranean mussel). Lineage: Eukaryota; Metazoa; Mollusca; Bivalvia; Mytilida; Mytilidae. The record is from RNAcentral.
AAGAAAUACUUUGCAUGAAUAAAGUUUAAUCCUUUCCAGUGCUACAGUGAAAAUUUCACACUACAUUUCAUUGCAUAUAAGAAAGUAACCUGCACCGGAAGUAAACAAUCACAUUUUUACCAGGUUAUUUACUGGUUACCUGCUUUGGCAACUAUGUAACCUUAACUUUCCAAAAUAUUUUAUAAGACCAUCAAAUAAAAAAAAGAAUGAUGCUUUCAGACACCCAACAUACAUGUUUAUGACUCAGAAAAAUUUAAGUGCAUUGAAAUGCAGGGUUAAUUUUCUACAACUGUCAAAUUCAAGGGAAUAUUUUUUUAGACCUACUUUCGUAUGCAACCGGAUGUGGCGUAUCAUGAUUUGGUGGUAUUACACCUAAAGAACACCUAAAUGUCAAAUAAACUUAAUGUAAUUUUUUUCCCUCCAAUUGCAAGUUAUUUCAAGCAUAACUGCCAAGUUUUGUCUCAGUCAGAUCUAUAGUUUCAGAGAAAAUCACUAUAAUGUAAGGCCAUAUCCUACGGCAAUUUCAGUCUUAUUUCUUCGACAAAUCCAAAUUUCAGUGUAUCAUUAUAAAAUGCAGUGUUGACUAAUAUCUGAUCAAAAACUCAUGAUCUAUGCAUUCAAAC